This 221-nucleotide long non-coding RNA is filed under the name Gossypium raimondii (Peruvian cotton). Its description in RNAcentral is "long non-coding RNA (GRAI_LNC008460)". Lineage: Eukaryota; Viridiplantae; Streptophyta; Magnoliopsida; Malvales; Malvaceae. The record is from RNAcentral.
CCGCCAUUGAUUUUUCAAUUUUAUCCAAGCAUUUAUCAAUUUUUUCUCUUAAUUUUUUUGUUACACUAGAUCCAAGUCUUCGUUUUAGAGAAUGGAUGACAAAAACUUCUUUUUUUUUUAAAAUCUUCGAUACCGCCGUAGAGACCUACGACGCAAAUUAAGAAAUCAUUUUUUUUAAAAACACACUGGUGCCACUAAUAUUAAGGUUUGUAACAAAACAC